CCUACGGGUGGCAGCAGUGAGGAAUAUUGGUCAAUGGGCGCGAGCCUGAACCAGCCACGUAGCGUGAAGGAUGACUGCCCUACGGGUUGUAAACUUCUUUUAUAAAGGAAUAAAGUGAGGCACGUGUGCCUUUUUUUAUUUACUUUAUGAAUACAGAUCUGCUAACUCCGUGCCAGCAGCCGAGUUAAUACGGAGGAUCCGAGCGUUAUCCGGAUUUCUUGGGUUUAAAGGGAGCGUAGAUGGGUUGUUAAGUCAGUUGUGAAAGUUUGCGGCUCAACCGUAAAAUUGCAAUUGAUACUGGCAGCCUUGAGUACAGGUGAGGUAGGCGGAAUUCGUGGUGUAGCGGUGAAAUGCUUAGAUAUCACGAAGAACUCCGAUUGCGAAGGCAGCCUACUAAACUGCCACUGACAUUGAUGCUCGAAAGUGUGGGUAUCAAACAGGAUUAGAUACCCCAGUAGUC
RNAcentral lists this ribosomal RNA (460 nucleotides) under uncultured bacterium. RNAcentral describes it as "partial 16S ribosomal RNA". It matches the Rfam family "Bacterial small subunit ribosomal RNA", at positions 338 to 795 of the family's 1533-position model. The record is from RNAcentral.